This is a long non-coding RNA of Equus caballus (horse), 2141 nucleotides long. The record is from Ensembl. NCBI's taxonomy places the organism in Eukaryota, Metazoa, Chordata, Mammalia, Perissodactyla, Equidae.
AUAAAUCAGCAGCACUGCAAAGAAAAAGACUGAAGCUGGCAUGCUGAAAUUUGGGCUUGUGGCCUUGUAUUUGGAGGCCCAGCAGGUGUAUUUUGAGUCCUUCCAUGUAAAAAAAUGUGAUCCUAGAAUAGCACUGCAUAUAUUCCACUCAGAUUAAUGAUCUCUAGGUAAUCAAAAACAUGGCCCUAUGCAGUUAAAUUCAACUCAGAUUAAUGAUCUCUAGGUAAUCAAAAACAUGGCCCUAUGCAGUUAAAUGUCAUCUGGACCUAAGUUAGGAGCACUAGAUUUCUUUUAAUGACAGGAGACUUUAAAUCAAGAAGUGCUUGGUCAAAAGCUCUAUUGAAGAUUGUUUUCUGUGGAUGUGUAUCUUAUGGCUGAUGGCUCCAUUAAGUGAGUGGUGCAAACACAUCUUCUAGUCUCAAGCUUCUUUUUACUUUUGCCUCUGGUGAAUGCUCAAGAAUACAGAGGUUAUUAUAACAAGACAGUAGUAGCUUGAAUAAAAAGUUAGAGGUCAAAAAGAGUAAGCUUACUUACUUUGAUGAAUUUGCUAAGAAAAGUAUAUGUGACUUUGGCACAUUUUUUUUCUGGCCAAUUUGUUUGAGGGGAAGUUACAGAAUCAAAAGUUUUGAAAAGUGUGACACACCAAGUGAAUUCAUAAGCCAACUUUCUCCGCAAAACAAAGCUGAAAGGCACAAAAGCACAAAGCAAGGUUUCUGUGGCUGCUACAAACUCACUUCCUUGAAGUUAUCCUAUUGCUUUUAUAAGCUAAAUUGCAGUAUAGCCAAUGGGCAGAUAGAAGCAGGUGGGGGCCGACUGUGGACAUAUUCCAUCUGCAGGCCAUUAGGAGUCUGCUCCAGCUGCCCUGUGCCGUUCUCAUUAAACACUAAUCAAAAGGCUGGGCUCAUCUUUUUUGCUGUGCUCCCUAUUUCUUUUAAUGCACCUGCAAAUAAAAUGAAAUGGGCUUAAUGGACUGAGGCUUUGACUGAUUCUCAUAGCUCUGCUGCAUGGUCACUAGUUGCUUCUCUUGGUAAUUUACAAGGUUUCCUGCUGUAUGAUAAAACACAGGUGCUCAGGCUGUCAUCCAGAGCAAUGAUUUAUUAGCUUUAGUGGUACCACAGACCUCAGGCAGCAGGCACUAAAUCAAGAGAAUAUAUACUGAAAUAAUAUGUUUUCCAAUGAUGACCCAUGGAGACUCUUUAGCUGUUCAUGCCCUUUACCCACUGCUGUUGGUUUUGCCAUUUCUCCUCAUUAUUUUAAAGCCCUCAGGAUUCACUUCCUGUCUUAAUUUCUCACCUGCCAGGAUGGCCUCACCACCAGCUUUAUUGCUAUAGAUUUCUAGUCGAUCCCUCACACCACCAAAGAGUUUCAGCUAAUGAGUAGGACAAAGGGAACCUCAGGGGCUUUUUCAGGCCUCAGGGACACUCAGAAUUUCUAUUCUGGGCUUUACUUUGAUAUGGUUGCCAGACAGUAAAAGCUAACAUUGUCCUUUUAAAAAACUCCACUUUGAGUUUAAAUAUGUCUGGACAUUGUUUUGGAACAUUUCAUCUACUGAAUAUUUCUUCAUGGAAAUUUGUUAAGGGGUCCUGCCUUCCUAUUUUUAUGACAGUGACUAUCAAUCAAAGUGACUUCUUGCUGAUUAUCAGAGAGCCCUAUGAACAGAUCAGAGAGAUUUUUAAUUACUAUUAAACGCCUGCCAAACGUGGGCACAGGGAAGAAUCACUCAGUCAGUCAAAGCAGAAGCCUGGUGUGGACUCUGAAUUUUAAUGAAUGGACAGAUCAGAGAUGUAAAGGGAGUCCUACUAGGUAAGAAAGCGAAUAUCAGGAGCAAAAUGUCCAAAAUCAUGCUGAAAACUGAAAAAGGCAGGCUGAGAACAGAGAAGUCAAUGAUGUAAAAUAUUAAGUAAGAUAACAAAAAUGAACACUAAUUAUAUACAACAGACUAAAAAAAUCCAGAACUUUGCCCUAAAUAGGAGAUCCAAAGCUUCACUCCAAAGGCGUGUGGAGUCAGCGCUCAUUGCCUUGCCUGUGUAAGCUCAGGAAUGACAGGUGUAGAGCCGGGAUGACAGAGCAGCGGAAGCAGGGAGAUGUUAGAACCUUCAUGACUCAGGAUCCUGGGAUUUGCCAACACCAAAGUGAGAUUG